This 253-nucleotide ribosomal RNA is filed under the name uncultured bacterium. RNAcentral describes it as "partial 16S ribosomal RNA". It matches the Rfam family "Bacterial small subunit ribosomal RNA", at positions 524 to 776 of the family's 1533-position model. The record is from RNAcentral.
UACAGAGGGGGCAAGCGUUGUUCGGAAUUACUGGGCGUAAAGGGCGCGUAGGCGGCCAACUAAGUCAGACGUGAAAUCCCUCGGCUCAACCGGGGAACUGCGUCUGAUACUGGAUGGCUUGAAUUCGGGAGAGGGAUGCGGAAUUCCAGGUGUAGCGGUGAAAUGCGUAGAUAUCUGGAGGAACACCGGUGGCGAAGGCGGCAUCCUGGACCGAGAUUGACGCUGAUGCGCGAAAGCCAGGGGAGCAAACGGG